Molecule: ribosomal RNA, 432 nt
Filed under: uncultured bacterium
Lineage: Bacteria
Description: bacterial SSU rRNA
Rfam family: Bacterial small subunit ribosomal RNA
Source: RNAcentral
AACGAACGCUGGCGGCAGGCCGUAACACAUGCAAGUCGAACGCCCCGCAAGGGGAGUGGCAGACGGGUGAGUAACACGUGGGAACCUUCCCAACAGUACGGAAUAGCCCAGGGAAACUUGGAGUAAUACCGUAUAUUCCCGAGAGGGGAAAGAUUUAUCGCUGUUGGAUGGGCCCGCGUCGGAUUAGCUAGUUGGUGAGGUAACGGCUCACCAAGGCGACGAUCCGUAGCUGGUUUGAGAGAAUGACCAGCCACACUGGGACUGAGACACGGCCCAGACUCCUACGGGAGGCAGCAGUGGGGAAUCUUGGACAAUGGGCGCAAGCCUGAUCCAGCCAUGCCGCGUGAGUGACGAAGGCCUUAGGGUUGUAAAGCUCUUUUACCGGGGACGAUAAUGACGGUACCCGGAGAAUAAGUCCCGGCUAACUUCGUG